RNAcentral lists this long non-coding RNA (202 nucleotides) under Mytilus galloprovincialis (Mediterranean mussel). Lineage: Eukaryota; Metazoa; Mollusca; Bivalvia; Mytilida; Mytilidae. The record is from RNAcentral.
GCUAAAAGAAAUUGAAAAUGGAAAUAGAGUAUGUCUCAAAGAGACAACAACCCGACCAAAAGGGCAGAAAUCAGCCUAAAUAAAGGCAACAGUAUUAUACCGCUGUUUGAAAGUCAUAAAUCUAUAGAGAAAAAACAAAUCCGAGUUACAAACUAAAACUGAGGGAAACGCAUCAAAUAUAAGAGAACCACGACACAACAGA